UACGGGGGUGGCUAGCGUUGUUCGGAAUUACUGGGCGUAAAGGGCGCGUAGGCGGCUUAACAAGUCAGAUGUGAAAGCCCCGGGCUUAACCCGGGAAUUGCAUCUGAAACUGUUUAGCUUGAGUUCUGGAGGGGAUGGUGGAAUUCCCAGUGUAGCGGUGAAAUGCGUAGAUAUUGGGAGGAACACCUGCGGCGAAGGCGGCCAUCUGGACAGUGACUGACGCUGAGGCGCGAAAGCUAGGGUAGCAAACGGG
RNAcentral lists this ribosomal RNA (253 nucleotides) under uncultured bacterium. Its description in RNAcentral is "partial 16S ribosomal RNA". It matches the Rfam family "Bacterial small subunit ribosomal RNA", at positions 524 to 776 of the family's 1533-position model. The record is from RNAcentral.